This 734-nucleotide ribosomal RNA is filed under the name uncultured Leptotrichia sp. RNAcentral describes it as "bacterial SSU rRNA". It matches the Rfam family "Bacterial small subunit ribosomal RNA", at positions 28 to 776 of the family's 1533-position model. Lineage: Bacteria; Fusobacteriati; Fusobacteriota; Fusobacteriia; Fusobacteriales; Leptotrichiaceae. The record is from RNAcentral.
GAUGAACGCUGACAGAAUGCUUAACACAUGCAAGUCGAUGGGGAAGGCUGAGCUUGCUCAGCUGGUAACCAUGGCGGACGGGUGAGUAACGCGUAAGGAACUUACCUGCGGGACUGGGAUAACGGAGGGAAACUUCUGACAAGACCGGAUAAAGUUACUGGGCAGCAUUGUUUGGUAAUGAAAGGAGACGCCUGCGGAGAGUCUUGCGUCCUAUUAGCUAGUUGGUUGGGUAACGGCUGACCAAGGCGAAGAUAGGUAGCCGGCCUGAGAGGGUGGACGGCCACAAGGGGACUGAGAUACGGCCCUUACUCCUACGGGAGGCAGCAGUGGGGAAUAUUGGACAAUGGGGGCAACCCUGAUCCAGCAAUUCUGUGUGCACGAAGAAGGUUUUCGGAUUGUAAAGUGCUUUCAGCAGGGAAGAAGGAAGUGACGGUACCUGCAGAAGAAGCGACGGCUAAAUACGUGCCAGCAGCCGCGGUAAUACGUAUGUCGCGAGCGUUAUCCGGAAUUAUUGGGCAUAAAGGGCAUCUAGGCGGCCUAACAAGUCAGGGGUGAAAACCUGCGGCUCAACCGCAGGCCUGUCUUUGAAACUGUAAGGCUGGAGUACCGGAGAGGUGGACGGAACUGCACGAGUAGAGGUGAAAUUCGUAGAUAUGUGCAGGAAUGCCGAUGAUGAAGAUAGUCCACUGGACGGAAACUGACGCUGAAGUGCGAAAGCCGGGGGAGCGAACAGG